GUUGCUACUUGCUAUUCAGUUGAAAUUUUCUACUUUCAUUUUGGAGGUUUUACUGUUAGCAUGUCAUACAAAUACAAAGUAGCAAAAUUUUGAAAGGAAUCAAAGACUAAGAUGGCUAGAUACCACAAGUAGGGCAAUGUAGACAUAUUACAAUUAUAAAAUUAUCUAUAAGUCAUAACAGAGUUUGUAACAGAGGUAAUUUAAUUAGUUUAGGUUUUA
This 219-nucleotide unclassified non-coding RNA is filed under the name Hevea brasiliensis (rubber tree). The record is from RNAcentral. Lineage: Eukaryota; Viridiplantae; Streptophyta; Magnoliopsida; Malpighiales; Euphorbiaceae.